CUUUCACAUCCUGAUCUGCAUGUUCUACUCAGCUAGUUACCAUGUAAUGGAAACAUUCAGCCUAAAAUAGACUUUCAUGAAAAUGAGUAAUGGAGCACAAUCAUGUUUUAAAAGACAGAAAAGCAGACUGGCCCUUGGGAUAUCAGUUCUUCUAAACGUUGCACUAAUAAUUACAAUCAUCGGUAUUUCAGCUAAGAAUACAUCUGAUUGUUACAAAAGAAACAAUCAAAAUAUUCCUCUCGUGAUUCGAAAUGUAGAUAACGAGACGUUGGCCGGUUUGGAAAUGACAAAUCACAGUACAAUAUACUAUAAUACAAGGGAGAAAAAUUUCUCUAUAUGUCUUCCUAUAAACGACUAUAGACAUGUGAUGUCCAAGAGAUGCAACACGUACAAGCUUCCACCAAAAGAUCCAUAGCUAAAAUGAUGAUUUCACCAUAUACUGAUAUUGUAUUUGUCAAUUCUAUAUCAAGAUAUUAAACAUGUGUUUUUAUACGCCCGUUUACGGGACGUAUUAUGGUAUACCGUUGUCCGUCUGUCCGCCCGUUCGACUGUCCGUUGUCAACAUGUCGGGCAUUAACUCAAAAACUCUUUAACCAAUUUGCAUAAAACUUUAGUGAAUUGUUUAUAUCUAUUGACGUGAGCUCCCUUUCGUUUUUGAUAAAUUUUAGAUUUUAUGUUUCAGAGUUAUGGGGUUUUAUUCAUUAAAAAAAGGGGGAUUUUCAAGUUUUCGGACAAUAACUCCAGAAUGCUUUCACCAACUUGCAAGAAAUUUUGGUUAAUUGUUUAUAUCUUUUAACAUGAGCUCCCUUUGGAUUUUUAUAAAUUUUAGAUAUUACGUUUCCGAGUUACGGGGUUUUAUUCAUAAAAAAAGGGGGAUUUUCCAGUUUUCGGACAAUAACUCAAAAAUGCUUUCAGCAGUUCUCAUGAAACUUUGAUGAAUUGUUGAUAUCUAUUGACUAUAUGAUGUAAGCUACAUUUAGAAUUUUAUAGAUUUUAGAUUUUACAUUUCCGAGUUAUCGGGUUUUAUUCAUUAAAAAAGGGGGGAUUUUCCAGUUUUCGGACAAUUACUCAAAAAUGGUUCAGCAAUUCUUAUGAAACUUUGGUGAAUUGUUUUUAUCUAUUGAUGUAAGCUCCCUUUAAAAUUUUAUAAAUCUUAUUUGUUUAUAGUCUGACAACAGAUUUACUAAGUAUUGCGCAACAGCACAGUGUAUUGCACACCAGCAAGAAAUUUUUAAUUGAAUAUAAAUUCAAUUCAUAUAACCAAUUUCAAGUUCUUUGACUACAUUUAUUCAGAAACCUAUAAUAUGUCAAAUAUUUAAUUACAAUCCAAAUUCAGACCUGUAUCAAGCUUGAAUAUUGUGUUCAUUUUUGCCCCAACUGUUCAUGGUUGUAUCCAGCUGCGCUCAGCGAAGCAGUUUAUUACAAGUAUUGAUACUGUCUCUUUCUUUUAAUUUCAUAUCAAUAUGAAGAACUUAUUUAGUAAUCUCAAGGUUUUUUUAAAUCCUUUGCUAAACAAUGUGCAUUUCUGUUAUCUUUUGUUGAAUAUAUUUUUUUAAGCUUUUGUUAAUUUUGCAAUCCACUUUAAUCCUGUAAUGAUGUAAUAUUAUUUUUCCGUAAUGUUUAACACCGAUAAAUUGUUAUAUCGUGACAAUGCAUAGACAAUCCAUUUUACUUGUAUUCUAAAAAUAUUAUUUACCUGUAUAUUAAACAGUACAAAUUGGAAUUUGGUAGGAUCCAGCAUCACCCUCCUAGUACACAUUAGAAUUCCCACAUCUACUAGUAGAAAUUAGAUUUCGGAUUUAUACUAUUUAAAAGCCAGUACAAAUCAAAAUUACAAUAUGUACUGCUAGAAAUUUAGGGAUAUCCAGAUAUGUACUAGGAGGAUCCUUGGAUCAUGGUUCAGGAUAUCAACAUAAACUAUAAUUAGUAUGAUUUUGGAUUGUACUUGAUUUAUGUUUUACUUAUUAUUUUUACUGAUGUACUUCACAAAAAAAAGUACGAAUUUCCUUAAGUUGAGCUAUAUAGUCCAUUGUUACUACAUUUACUAAUCAAAAGUGGGCAGAACAAAAUAAGCAUGAUAAAGACUUUUAUGACUUGUGGCUGAAGACAGAUAACGGGUAAAAUUUUAACAAAAUAAAGGUACACAAAAUUAUCCUGUUUUUGAACCACUCACAGAGUCAAAGAAACAAUUUUAGAUAUUCCCUCAAAAUCAAAGUGUCAUUUCACCGGUUUCAGUCAGCUCUUCAUUUCACCGGUUUCAGGCAGCUCUUCUGGUUUCAGUCAGCUCUUCAUUUCACCGGUUUCAGUCAGCUCUUCAUUUCACCGGUUUCAGUCAGCUCCUCAUUUCACCGGUUUCAGUCAGCUCUUCAUUUCACCGGUUUCAGUCAGCUCUUCAUUUCACCGGUUUCAGUCAGCUCCUCAUUUCACCAGUUUCAGUCAGCUCUUCAUUUCACCGGUUUCAGUCAGCUCUUCAUUUCACCGGUUUCAGUCAGCUCCUCAUUUCACCGGUUUCAGUCAGCUCUUCAUUUCACCGGUUUCAGUCAGCUCUUCAUUUCACCGGUUUCAGUCAGCUCUUCAUUUCACCGGUUUCAGUCAAACACCUGUUUCUUAAAUUCGAUUCUUUGUUAAUAUUAUGUGAAAUAGCAAAAAAAAUGAUAUGCAAUGUCCUUUUAUACUAAAACUUUUACACGAUAAAAGCUCUCACAUAGUGUCAUUUUUUGACAAAACGAUUAAAAGAGGCACCACUGAUAUAUUACGAAUACGCUGAUUAACUAAAUUUUGGUUAAAUCCAUUCGCUAAAACUAUUAAUUUUAAAAUUGACCGAAGCUUUUGCAGUAGUACUAGAAGGAGGAAUGGUCUUGAAAUAUCAGUCAACACAAUGCUCACGGAUUUAAAAUUUUAAGACCCUACGCAAUGCAUUUUUCAAGGAAAGAAUUGUUCAUCUUAUAAAAGUUUAUUACGCUUGUGUUUUGACCCGAAGAAGUCUUUCUUCUUCAAUUUCUUAAAAAAAUCUUAAUAAGUUCUGAAUAUGCAUUUAAUUUUUUUAUUUACAGUUUCAAGUUUAUAAAAAAAGAAUGUAUUUGCUAUUUUUUUUAACCGCCUCGGUGGUAUCGUGGUAGCGUGUUUGCCUAUAGUGCGGGAGGUCGUGGGUUCGAAGCC
Molecule: long non-coding RNA, 3159 nt
Organism: Mytilus californianus (California mussel)
Lineage: Eukaryota; Metazoa; Mollusca; Bivalvia; Mytilida; Mytilidae
Exons: 4
Source: RefSeq, a predicted model, not a curated record